Molecule: ribosomal RNA, 200 nt
Filed under: uncultured bacterium
Lineage: Bacteria
Description: partial 16S ribosomal RNA
Rfam family: Bacterial small subunit ribosomal RNA
Source: RNAcentral
GAUGAACGCUAGCGGCAGGCUUAAUACAUGCAAGACGAACGGUAAGUUAGGUAGCAAUACUUGACCUAGAGUGUCGUACGGGUGCGUAACGCGUAUGCAAUCUGCCUUGUACAAAGGGAUAGCCCAGAGAAAUUUGGAUUAAUACCUUAUAGUAUAUCGAUGUGGCAUCACAUUGUUAUUAAAGAUUUAUCGGUACAAGA